Hemicordylus capensis (graceful crag lizard) is the source of this 2367-nucleotide long non-coding RNA. RefSeq lists it as uncharacterized. The record is from RefSeq and is a predicted model, not a curated record. The transcript has 8 exons. NCBI's taxonomy places the organism in Eukaryota, Metazoa, Chordata, Lepidosauria, Squamata, Cordylidae.
UCCAGGCUGAGCUGAUCCCAGUGGGGUUGAGAGAGCAAGGCAGGGAGAGCCAUAGGAAACAGCUCCAGGGAGACAGCUAGGUUGGGUGUGGCAGGAAACAGGAAGCCAGGUCAAGAAGGGGGCGGGGCUGGAAGUAGGCUUUAAGCCCUGUCAGCUCUGCACUCGGACAUUUAAAGACAAGGCAGCUGAUGAUGAGGGGCUGCUUCUGAGUAUGGGAGCCUGGAGUUCUCCAGGAGAGGGAACUGGCUGAAUGUAGCAAGCCAGGAGGCGGAGGAGGAGGACUCAGGUGACAAGCAACAAGCUAACCUCCUCCCCUGGCUGUUACUGAGGCUGACCUUUUGUGGGGUGCUGCAGUCAUUCUGGAGUUCAAGAAGGGCUAGGAGCCACCUCAUCCCAUGGGAGUCUGACAGAUGUGAUCCUUUUAGGGUUUCUAGCUCAUUCAAGAAUUAUUCUCUCCAACAAAAAGUCUCCUAUGACAGACAACAACUCUAAAGCUAAAGAUUUUAUCUUUUUGUGUUGCUGGAAUCAUUAGCAGAAAAUGAAACCCAGUCAAAUGUGGUAAGAACAUCCUGUGGGGAGAAGAGACAUGUGGAUAUAGACACUGGCUUCAUCUCAGAGCCAUAGGCUUCCUUACAUGGUGGUCCACAGAAGCAUUUGUUGGCAGUGUAGUGGUCGAUAUAAAGGAAAAGGCUGGGAACCACUGGUCUAGACCAUAAAUGGCCAACCGGUUGCCCACAGGUACAUACAUGCUCUUUAGGAUCAACAUGCAGCAGAGCACAACUCUCAAGGCAGUAAGGAUCUGUGGUGCACUUGACCAGGAGUAGGAAGGAGCAUACGCCUCAUUAUGGUGUCGAACCAGGCCUCAACUUCUGAUUAGCUCUCCAGUAUUAAGCUGCUCUCUGGCUCAGUAGAGAGCACUUGGAGGAAUUAGUAAAUGAAAAUGGUACCAUUUUCCCUGAGCAAAUAGGUUUUGGAAGAGGGCCAAACAAUCUCAUAACAAGACAGAAAUGAAAGCUUUUUGGAAGAGUCAGAGCCAGCCAUUAAUCUGGUAUUGUUGGGGAAGCCCUCGGUUCCUGAAAGCUGCAAGCAUAACAUGAACAAUACAAGAUGUUCUUCCUUUCUUUCCCUUGUGACCCUCCUUCGGCAUGAACCCCAACACCAACUGAGAUCAUCAGGAGAAGUCUGGUUGCAGUUGCCACUGACUUGUUUUGUGGAAACAUGGAACUAAGAUUUCUCUGUGGCCAGCCUGGGACUUUGGAAUGUGCUUAUGUCAUGACACUGGUCUUUCCAUGGCCGUUUUUGAGGGGGUUGGGUUUUUGAGGGGAGGGGGUUGGGUUCACCUGAGUCCUCCUCCUCCAGGCUCCUCGUGGUCACUGUGGCAGUCUAUCUCCAGAGGCCUCCACCACUCGCCCUCCAGCUGCUCCUCAUCACUGGACGAGCCUGUCUUAAAUCCCAUGCCCCUGCUAAUUGGACCUCCACCCUGCUAUAUCAGGCUGCUCUCACCCUUAUCCCCCUCAGCUGUGCCUCUGUCUGCUACUGCCGCCUCCUCCCUCCCUCACCCCUUCCCUUCCCCCAGCCCCUCUAGCCCAUCUCCUUGGUCCCACAGCGUCUCAGCUGGCUGCUUGUCAGGCUGUUCUGCCUGACUGAUUGCCCUGCCUGGGGCCUCUCUGGUCCCGGCUGCCAAGGGAACAUCGGAGCCCCCACAGGACAGCUUCCUAUAAGAACCUCCUCAUCUCUGGCUGCCUUCAAGAAAGUCCUUAAGAGAGUUAUGUUUCCUCAGGCCUUUUUGUAGCCAUUUUUAAAAACUGUUUUAAUUAUGUUUAAUUAUUUUAAUUGUUGGCUGUUCUAAUAGUCUGGUUUUUAAAAAAAAAUGUAAACCACUUGGAGAUGCUUCAUUUUAGGCAGCUUACAAUUCAAAUUAAAUAAAUAAAUACAAUCCAUACUUGCUGUGCACAUUGGUGAUCAUUUAUUUGUAUUGUCACAAACAUCGAUAAUCCAGUUUCACACAUUUUGAUCAGACAAAAAAGGAAUUAGGUGGGCAUGUGUUAAAGAAUACAUUGAGAAGUGUGCCUCACCAUACUUCUGUGGGUUUCUUUACCAUAAAUAGCAACUUCAGGAGGACAAUCCAGAUUGGGGCUGUGGUCUAGGAGGUGAGAGGCUUUGGCAUUGGCACAAUUCUAUCCAGACCACCCCACAGCUAUUUCCCUUAGUGCCAAUGGGAACUUCCCUCCUGGGGCCAAAAAAACCCCUUUCUCCCUGCAGCAGAGUUCCAGUCUGGGACAAGUGGAGCCUCAUAUGAUUGCAUGUUUCUCCAUACAAAGGAAAGAAAAUCUCUCAUUGAAAACAAGCCUAACCUUUUCCCUGACA